Molecule: ribosomal RNA, 388 nt
Filed under: Chrysocampanula sp.
Lineage: Eukaryota; Haptophyta; Prymnesiales
Description: partial small subunit ribosomal RNA
Rfam family: Eukaryotic small subunit ribosomal RNA
Source: RNAcentral
AUUCCAGCUCCAAUAGCGUAUAUUAAAGUUGUUGCAGUUAAAACGCUCGUAGUCGGAUUUCGGGGCGAUCCCGCCGGUCUGCCGUUGGGUAUGCACUGGUGGGCGCGUCCUUCCUUCCGGAGACCGUUCCUACUCUUAGCUGAGCGGGGACGGGAGACGGAUCGUUUACUUUGAAAAAAUCAGAGUGUUUCAAGCAGGCAUUUGCUCUUGCAUGGAUUAGCAUGGGAUAAUGAAAUAGGACUUUGGUGCUAUUUUGUUGGUUUCGAACACCGAAGUAAUGAUUAACAGGGACAGUCAGGGGCACUCGUAUUCCGCCGAGAGAGGUGAAAUUCUUGGAUUAACGGAAGAUGAACUUCUGCGAAAGCAUCUGCCAAGGAUGUUUUCAUCG